AAAGCGAGGUUUCUUUUUAUUGCAAGUACAAGCUAGCUCGUAACUUCCAUCUCCAACACCCCGCAACAGCGAGGUAGAGAGAGAAGCAUAUAUAAGCUGGGAGACAGGCGGCAGAACUGCAUGGAAGCAGCCGUUUGCUGCGCUAUCAGGAAAGGAUCUUCCCAACCCUGCUGAGCAUCCUGUGGCGUGUGCAGUAUACCUCCGGGCUUCCAGCUUUUGCGAGCCAUCCAUCACCUACGCUUGCUUUCGUGAUUAUAGCUGUCUGAGUGAUUUCUGCUCCUAAACGGACAUUGAGGUAGAGUUGCUGAAGUCUUUCCAACAAGUUCCAAUGCAGCCUCUGGACUGGGCAGGUUCCCAGGGGAUUUCAGAAGCUCACAAAAACUGGGCAUUGAGUAGAAAUACUCCUCCCACCUCAUUUUUAUGUACAGUAUAUGUUGCUUGGAGUCAACUUAUAAAUUUUGUCCCGAUUGAUUUUAAUUGUAAAUGAGUGCAUAGGAGGUGACUGUUGUGACCGGAGGGCAGUCUGGAUCCUCCAGAGAGUGGAUGCUGUGCCUUUUCCCAGAGAUGUUCCAUGUCAGGGGACAUCAGAGCAGUCUCAUCCUGGCCUCUACUUGAACUUUACAUGGAGAAGGAGGCACAAUGUGACUUGGUUUAUUUCUCUUUGUCUUUAAACUUUGCACAUAUCAAACAUGCAACAGAUAUUUAUACAAUAAAUGCUUAUACUAACUGCAUGCUUGUGUGUGCGUGCACACGCAUGUGUGCGUGUGUAUGUUCACCUGUUAAUGGAGGGACUGAAGGGAUUGAAACGUCUAGGUGGAAUAUAUCCAGAGUAUAAUCAUACUUACAGUAAUACCUGACUGAUGGUUUUAAUUGUACCUGUGUUGUCCUGUUAGAAAGUGGGGAGAUAGAUGUGGGGACUAUUUUGGUUUUCUGAGCUUUCCAUCAUGAUUUAAAAAAAAUCAAAGAGAAAAAAAAAAAAAAAACAGGAACAGUAGCACCUGCCUGUAAUCCCAGUACUUGGUGGGUUGAAGGUGGAUUAGAAGUUCAAGAAUGUCCUUGGCUACAAAUGGAAUUCUAGGCCAGCUCAGGCUACGUAAAGAAGGGAAGAGAGAGAGAGAGAGAGAGAGAGAGAGAGAGAGAGAGAGAGAGAGAAUAAAUCAGUUCUGAGCAAACAUGUGGAAGAUAUUUCAACCUGUUCAAGAAGGGGUGACUUGGAGAAUAGAGUGGACAUGUGAGAUAAAACCUAAGACCUCAGGCCCUGUGGGCCACCCCCAACCCCCACCCCUUUGUGCCUUUGGAACUGUACCUGCUUUCAUCUUCAA
Molecule: long non-coding RNA, 1322 nt
Organism: Myodes glareolus (Bank vole)
Lineage: Eukaryota; Metazoa; Chordata; Mammalia; Rodentia; Cricetidae
Source: RefSeq, a predicted model, not a curated record